ACAAGGUUUUGGUGUCCUGGAACUCACAUUGUAGAGCAGGCUGGCCUCGAACUUAGAGAUCCACCGGCCUUUGUCUCUGAGUGCUGGGAUUAAAGGUGUGGGCCACCACACUCUGGCUGGCUGUUUCUGUUUAUAGAAGUCCCACCACUCUCACCACGUGUAUUAGAAAAAACUAUCUUUCCUAUACCGAAGUGCCUUUGUUGGACCAAGAGUGUGUUAGAGGAACUUCUGGUCCCUCUGCCCACGUGCAUACCUGCACCACACAUCUGCAGUGCUGGAGACAGAGUUAGGAUCAACCCAUGGGGAAUAAUUGGUAAUACAUUAUGACUGAGUCUUUGUCACAACAGUUCAGCUGUUAUGACCCAAUUCCACCCUCUUAGGGUGUCUGCAGGACAUCAACCCAACAAUCACCAGGUAGUCCUUGUGUCCGUUUCCACCCCAUAUUGUCCCCUCCUCCCUGAGAAAGAACAUCAGAAACCGAAGCCUCUUCUCAGCAUGUGGGAAUCUGUUGAAGCUCAAGAGGUACCAGGUAUCUAAAAUCUUCCAGGCAUUACGCUAGAUACAGAAGCACAGACAGAUGCAAGCAUACUGGCUUCAAAAAAUCUAAAGCAACAGAAGAAAAAAACUAUCAAUGAACAGUUCAGGGAUAGUCACUGGAGAUGGCACAGAUGCCUGGGAAAUGGGAGCAUGAGGUUUAAGGUCAUCCUCUACUACACAAUGCAGGCACAGAAACUCAAGUGACCAAAAAGGCAGCAAGAAGAAAGCGGGCAGUUCUUUCCAGUGAAGUCUCAAUUAUCAUCUGACGCUGACCUGCACCUCCAACUUUCAC
This is a non-coding RNA of Peromyscus maniculatus bairdii (prairie deer mouse), 829 nucleotides long. The record is from RefSeq and is a predicted model, not a curated record. NCBI's taxonomy places the organism in Eukaryota, Metazoa, Chordata, Mammalia, Rodentia, Cricetidae.